GGGUUGUGAGGUUAAGCGACUAAGCGUACACGGUGGAUGCCCUGGCAGUCAGAGGCGAUGAAGGACGUGCUAAUCUGCGAUAAGCGUCGGUGAGGUGAUAUGAACCGUUAUAACCGGCGAUUUCCGAAUGGGGAAACCCAGUGUGUUUCGACACACUAUCAUUAACUGAAUCCAUAGGUUAAUGAGGCGAACCGGGGGAACUGAAACAUCUAAGUACCCCGAGGAAAAGAAAUCAACCGAGAUUCCCCCAGUAGCGGCGAGCGAACGGGGAGGAGCCCAGAGCCUGAAUCAGUGUGUGUGUUAGUGGAAGCGUCUGGAAAGGCGYGCGAUACAGGGUGACAGCCCCGUACACAAAAAUGCACAUAUUGUGAGCUCGAUGAGUAGGGCGGGACACGUGGUAUCCUGUCUGAAUAUGGGGGGACCAUCCUCCAAGGCUAAAUACUCCUGACUGACCGAUAGUGAACCAGUACCGUGAGGGAAAGGCGAAAAGAACCCCGGCGAGGGGAGUGAAAAAGAACCUGAAACCGUGUACGUACAAGCAGUGGGAGCCACGUUAUGGGG
This 561-nucleotide ribosomal RNA is filed under the name Escherichia coli. RNAcentral describes it as "bacterial LSU rRNA". It matches the Rfam family "Bacterial large subunit ribosomal RNA", at positions 1 to 592 of the family's 2925-position model. The record is from RNAcentral. Lineage: Bacteria; Pseudomonadati; Pseudomonadota; Gammaproteobacteria; Enterobacterales; Enterobacteriaceae.